ACACGACUACAUUAGAUACCCCCGUAGUCCAGGGUGUAAACGCUGCGGGCUUGGUGUUGGGGGUCCUUUGAGGGCGCCCAGUGCCGGAGAGAAGUUGUUAAGCCUGCUACUUGGGGAGUACGUCCGCAAGGAUGAAACUUAAAGGAAUUGGCGGGGGAGCACCGCAACGGGAGGAGCGUGCGGUUUAAUUGGAUUCAACACCGUAAAACUCACCAGGGGAGACUGUUACAUGAAGGCCGAGAUGAAGACUCUGCUAGAUUUUCAG
This 265-nucleotide ribosomal RNA is filed under the name uncultured archaeon. RNAcentral describes it as "partial 16S ribosomal RNA". It matches the Rfam family "Archaeal small subunit ribosomal RNA", at positions 717 to 982 of the family's 1478-position model. The record is from RNAcentral.